Molecule: unclassified non-coding RNA, 200 nt
Filed under: soil metagenome
Description: partial contains internal transcribed spacer 2 and large subunit ribosomal RNA
Source: RNAcentral
UGCUGGCUUCCUUAAGUGGAUGGUCUGCUCCCUUUAAAUGCAUUAGUGGGAUCUCUUGUGGACCGUCACUUGGUGUGAUAAUUAUCUACGCCUCGUCGACUUUGAAGCAAACUUAUGGGAACCUGCUUAUAACCGUCUCGCAAGAGACAACUUUCUGACAUUUUGACCUCAAAUCAGGUAGGACUACCCGCUGAACUUAA